RNAcentral lists this long non-coding RNA (418 nucleotides) under Pomacea canaliculata. RNAcentral's name for it is "uncharacterized LOC112560776". Lineage: Eukaryota; Metazoa; Mollusca; Gastropoda; Architaenioglossa; Ampullariidae. The record is from RNAcentral.
GUCGAGCAUUCUAUCUGCUGAAAUUUAUGAGUUCAUCGUGGCGGCCAUGUGCUGGCUCAUGAUUCCCUUUCUACUGUUCCUGGGAAUCCCUGGCAACGUGGUGAGCGCCAUGGUGUUCUACAGACAGGGUCUUGGAGAGAGAAUCAACGUCUGUCUCUUCCUCCUGGCGCUGGCUGACCUCGUCAACGUCGUCAUCCUGCUUCUGUUGUAUGUCGAGGACCGAGUGAGAAAACACUUUAAUGCAAACAGCUGGUUCAUAAUAACCUAUUUAGGGGGUGUAAUCAGCGCCGAGUGGGCCUCUCAGUUCCUGUCGGCUGUCAUCGCCUGUGAGCGCUGUUUCUGUGUCGUCAGUCCCCUCCACGCCAAGCGGCUGCUGAAGACGUCCACCAUGACCGCCAUUGUUGUCGUCUGCUGUGUC